AUGCGCAUGUUGAGAUGGAUGUGUGGCCACAUGAGGAAGGACCGAGCCCGGAAUGAUGAUAUACGAGAUAGAGUUGGGGUAGCACCGAUUGAAGAGAAGCUUGUCCAACAUAGAUGGUUUGGGCAUAUUCAGCGCAGGCCUCCAGAAACUCCGAUGCAUAGCGGACGGCUAAAGCGUGUUGAUAAUGUCAAGAGAGGUCCGGGUAGACCAAACUUGACACGUGAGGAGUCCGUAAAGAGAGAUCUGAAGGAUUUGAGUAUCACCAAAGAACUAGCCAUGGACAGGGGUGCACUGAAGCUUACCAUCCAUGUGCCAGAACCAUGA
This 324-nucleotide ribosomal RNA is filed under the name Triticum aestivum (bread wheat). RNAcentral describes it as "partial small subunit ribosomal RNA". The record is from RNAcentral. Lineage: Eukaryota; Viridiplantae; Streptophyta; Magnoliopsida; Poales; Poaceae.